GACGAACGCUGGCGGCGUGCCUAAUACAUGCAAGUCGAGCGCGAGAAGCACCUUCGGGUGUGGAUCGAGCGGCGAACGGGUGAGUAACACGUGGGCAACCUACCUAUUAGCCUGGGAUAACUCCGGGAAACCGGAGCUAAUACCGGAUACUCCUCUUCCUCGCAUGAGGAAGAGGGGAAAGAUGGCCUCGGCUAUCACUAGUAGAUGGGCCCGCGUCGCAUUAGCUUGUUGGUGGGGUAACGGCCUACCAAGGCGACGAUGCGUAGCCGACCUGAGAGGGUGAUCGGCCACACUGGGACUGAGACACGGCCCAGACUCCUACGGGAGGCAGCAGUAGGGAAUUUUCCGCAAUGGGCGCAAGCCUGACGGAGCAACGCCGCGUGAGUGAUGACGGUCUUUAUGGAUUGUAAAGCUCUGUUCUCAAGAAUGAACUCACCUUAGUCGAAUAGAUUAUGGUGUUGACAGUACUUGAGCAGAAAGCCCCGGCUAACUAC
This 494-nucleotide ribosomal RNA is filed under the name uncultured Bacillota bacterium. RNAcentral describes it as "bacterial SSU rRNA". It matches the Rfam family "Bacterial small subunit ribosomal RNA", at positions 28 to 504 of the family's 1533-position model. The record is from RNAcentral. Lineage: Bacteria; Bacillati; Bacillota.